CUUUCGCUGCGCGCAACUCCCAGCAAAGUCUGCGCUGCGCCGCUGGAGCUUUGGCGACGCCAUGCAGCCCAGCUCGGGGCCUGCCGUGCUGGUCACCACCAGACCUCUUCAAAACACCCACACAGGGAUCGAUCUGUCCGUUCCAGAGUACCAGGAAAUCCGGGGGAAGAUGAUGUCAGGCCAUGUGGAAUAUAAUAUUGUUGCCGUGACGCAGCUGCCUGCUUUCAAAUCAGCAAAGCACAAGCCAGAAGACAUCAUUCAGUUUAUGGUCUCAAAGAAGUACAGCGAGAUUGAGGAGUUUUAUCAGAAGCUGGCCACACGUUACCCACAAUCCUCUCUGCCACCGCUGCCAAGGAAAGUGCUGUUUGUUGGGGAGUUUGACAUCCGGGAACGGAGAGCUGCGUUUAAUGAGAUCAUGAGAUCCAUUUCCAAAGACACAGAUCUAGCAACAAGUCCCGAGUUAAUGGAAUUCCUAGGAACCAGAUCCACCAGCGCCACGGACAUCAAAAGUAAAAACCUCCCCGAUGCGGAAGACAAGGACGACGAAAACGAAGCCUUUGAUUUCUUCAAAGAGGAAAGGACUCCUGACCCCGUUCCCCUGUUCAAAUCCUCGGAAGAGCAGGAUGUUAAAAAGAGAAAAGAGGAAGAGGAGGACGGGGAUGAUGAUGGAGACCCUCUUGGUGUUAUCAAAUCUAAAAAGACUAAGAAACCCAUGCCUCCUCCAGCCAAAGACGGGAAGCCCAAGUUAACGAUUUUUGACGAAGAAGCUGUUCCCGAUGAAGGACUGUUUGGCUCAGCUAAAGGGUUUUCAUUCAGCAGCAGCAAGAGGAUAUUGGCAGCCGAAAAAAAUCUGAAAUUGUUUGAAGAUCCAGACCUUGGUGGAUUGGUGACUCUGGGUGACUCGCUGCUGUUGCCAACAGCCUGUGCAAGCACGGAGCAUGCAUUAAGCGGUAGCCUUGAGGAGGACACUGAAGAACUCUUGAGAGUGGAAGAGGAUUUUGAGAAGAUGUGGAAACUAAGCUCCAAGCCCAAGCUACCACCUAAGCCAGCGUUACCAAAGAAGCCAGCAGUAACUGAUGCAAAACCCCCAUUCUCCUCAGCCCCCAAAACAAAGCCAACUGAAGUAAAGGCUCAGACCAUGGGCGAAGUUGAUAUCCUCCAGUACAUUCAAGAAAACGAAUCUACCAGCAGUGAAGAACCAAGCCUGUUCUGAAACACAGACUAUGCCAGACUUUUCUUCAGGAAGAACUUCCACCAGCCUUCUGCAUCUGGUUGGACAGAGCAGGCUUUGGCCCAGCACCCUCGGUUGACAGCUUGCCUGCUGGUUCAUUAUGGCAAAGAGAGCAGAUUUCCUGUGAUCCUUGGAUGAAGAGCGGUAUUGAAAUUUAAUUGGCAACAUCAUCAUCAUCAACAACAACUGGAGAGCCAAAGGUUCUGCACACCCGAACGAGAUGAUUGCUUCCAACUUGAUUCUGUAUUUUGAUAGUUCAAUUAGACAGCUGACGAAAGUGCUUUAAAAUUGUUUCUCUCUUUUUAUAUGAACCUAUCCUAUGUCUUUCUCAUUCUCUCUUGGGUAACUGAGGCCCACAAAACAAAUAUCACUUGAGGAGAAGUUAAGCCAUAUCAAGAGACUUGCCAAGCCAGUAAGCUUAUCUCUAUUGCCUUUUGAAUAUACACCUGAAUGAAUGGAGGGGGAAAUAUCGAAGCACUUUAAAUGAGUUGUGUUUAUAAUGUAUAAUGUUCAUCAUUCUGUUUUGAAUAAAAGUAUUAAGCACUAUGAAAAUUAAA
RNA transcript from Podarcis muralis (Common wall lizard), 1788 nucleotides. It is a transcript of the gene named HCLS1 binding protein 3, with no coding region annotated. The record is from RefSeq and is a predicted model, not a curated record. Lineage: Eukaryota; Metazoa; Chordata; Lepidosauria; Squamata; Lacertidae.